Molecule: ribosomal RNA, 246 nt
Filed under: uncultured bacterium
Lineage: Bacteria
Description: partial 16S ribosomal RNA
Rfam family: Bacterial small subunit ribosomal RNA
Source: RNAcentral
CACGCCGUAAACGAUGAAUACUAGGUGUAGGAGGUAUCGACCCCUUCUGUGCCGCAGUUAACACAAUAAGUAUUCCGCCUGGGGAGUACGGUCGCAAGAUUAAAACUCAAAGGAAUUGACGGGGGCCCGCACAAGCAGCGGAGCAUGUGGUUUAAUUCGAAGCAACGCGAAGAACCUUACCUGGACUUGACAUCCCCUGAAUAGCCUAGAGAUAGGCGAAGCCCUUCGGGGCAGGGAGACAGGUGG